Non-coding RNA from Macaca mulatta (Rhesus monkey), 365 nucleotides. Lineage: Eukaryota; Metazoa; Chordata; Mammalia; Primates; Cercopithecidae. The record is from RefSeq and is a predicted model, not a curated record.
CCACCCCUUUGUGGCAGCCUCAGGGGUGAGAAAUCAGGACCCACCCAGUGUGAGGAAUAACUGGCGCUCUCAGCAAGGCAGAAAGAAACAGGACUGCAACAUGACUAAAGGAUUCUCACAUACUGUGGCGAUGACUGUGCAGAGACUAGGGAAGGAGAAGCCGUAGGAGCCGAUGCAUGUGACAUUUGGUACCAAAGAUCCGAGUCAGAGGGACUCCUUCAGGAGAGCAGUCCCCUGUCCUCACCCUCACUCUGUGAAGAGAUUCACCUACGACCACGGGUCCUCGGACCAACCAGCCCAAGGAACAUCUCACCAACUUCAAAUCGGAUGUUCUUGGCUUAGCAGCUGAAGACUGACGCUGCCUG